GCAACAGUUGGUAGAGCAGCUGACUCUUAAUCAGCGGGCCCAGGGUUCGAGUCCCUGGAGGUGCACCA
RNAcentral lists this transfer RNA (68 nucleotides) under Subdoligranulum sp. Its description in RNAcentral is "tRNA-Lys". It matches the Rfam family "tRNA", at positions 10 to 71 of the family's 71-position model. From Rfam's summary of the family: Transfer RNA (tRNA) molecules are approximately 80 nucleotides in length. Their secondary structure includes four short double-helical elements and three loops (D, anti-codon, and T loops). Lineage: Bacteria; Bacillati; Bacillota; Clostridia; Eubacteriales; Oscillospiraceae. The record is from RNAcentral.